CCCCCCAGGGCAGACCCCAAAGAGAAGGGUCAGAAGUGCCCUCUGGGGCCUGGGCAGCUGGGCGGAGCCCACAAGCCUGAGACCCCAUGGGAAGGAAGUGUCCCCACCCUGUGGUAAGAAAGGGGCUGGUAGAGGCUCCUAUGUGGCUCCCUCUGUCCCCUCCCAACCUCUGGCCAGGCUUGGGAUAAUCCCUGAGUGGACACAGGUGCCACAAUGGGGUCUCGGGGGUGAGGGCUGAGGAGGCUGAGCCUCCAAGGACCCCAGGGUGCCUGUUCCCACUGCACACCCACCGGGGCACAGGGUAGGGAUAGUGCCAGGAGGGCCACAGCUGCAGGGUCCACCCCAGGCCGUGGUACACAGGUAGAGGUGGGUGCCAGCCUUCGUGAAGCACCUGCAGAGGCUCCACUCAGGGAGAGAACGAGGCACUCACCCAAAGGGAUCCUGGGUCACACGGGGCAGCAAGAGAGGGUGGAGCAAGUGGCCUAGAGCAAAGGGUUGGAGAGGCCCCGGGCGGCGCGUUCUCCCCCAAGCCCAUUCCAGGGCCAUGGGCACCCCCCAGAGGCAGCUGGUGGGACUGCCGCCAUGCAGGUCCUAGAGGGCAGGUGACAGGGGACGUGACAGAAGGGGACAAAGGGCCGGCAACAUCCCUGGGGGAGGCACAGAGAGGGCCAGACUGCCCUCUGUGGACUGCGGAACCCAGAACCCAACGGCCAAUCCUCCCCCUACUCCUCACCCACAGUAAGGGGCCAGGGCUCCAUGCAAUGAGAACCCACGGGUGAUGCCACACGGGGGAGAAGCCACGCGGGGGAGAGGCCAUGCAGGGCAGAGGUUACAAGGGGGAGAGGCCGCGGGGGGAGAGGUCGCAUGGGGCAGAGGCCACGUGGGGGAGACGUCACAUGGGGGAGGACACGCAGGGCAGAGGUCACAUGGGGGAGAGGCCACGCGAGGGAGAGGCCACGCAGGGGAGAGGUCACAAUGGGGAGAGGCCGCAGGGGGGAGAGGUCACAUGGGGCAGAGGCCACGUGGGGGAGAGGUCACAUGGGGCAGAGGUCACAUGGGGGAGGACACGCAGGGGAGAGGUCACAAGGGGGAGAGGCCGCAGGAGGAGAGGUCACAUGGGGGAGAGGCUACACAGGGGAGAGGCCGCACGUUGGGGAGAUGGCCCCUGCGGGAAGACUCCGAGGCAGUCUGCUGCAGCUCCUUCCGGCUGAAUCCGGUUCAGGAAGUAAAACCAGCCCUGUGUAGAGGUAAGUGAUGCUUGGAGGGAUAAUCUCCGAGCAGCUCACCGCGGUGCUGGCCAUUGCCGUUCUCUUCACGGUAGAAGAGUCCAUUUGGGGAAAAGGUCCCCAUCAGAGAUGGAGACGUUCCCUUUCAGACUCCGGGCUGAGGCUGUGGGGCCGGCUCCCUACCACGUGGGCUGGGGGCUGGGCACACGCACGCCCACUCCUGGGCCCUCUUCCUGGUAGGCCACAGCACCACACACACUGCAAACCGGGCCUCUUCUUCAUCCACCACCACCGUCCAGGCCUCAGCAUCACCACGCUGGGGUCUUGUGCCCUCUGGGGGAACUUCUGGGCUAAUGAGGGGGGACAGUCCCCAUUACCGGUCUAUCUUUAUAAGGCAGUAUAUGCAACACUGGAAGUUCUGUGAGACAUGUUCCAACCCCAGGGCUGCUGGCAGAACUGUCCCCAAACCCACCCUCGAUCCCACGGCCAGGAAGUGGGUCCAAAAUUGCCUGGCCAGGUCACACCCCUGCGUGAACCGUCCCACAACACCCAGGGCGCUGCCUGACCUGCCGCCCACCUGUCAGCCCCUCCCCUCACCCCUGCCGCAGCUGCAGGGCCUGCCCUCGCCGGGGGCUGCUCCCUGCUUACCUCCCUCGCCCGUGCAGUGCCUCUACUGCCCGCAAGGCCCACCGGGAGAAGUUAUAGGUCACGGUCAUAUCUGAGUGUGAGAAGCUCAUGCAGAGAACAUUCUGGCUGAGGGAGAGGUCUUGGGGUUCAAGGCUGUUUCUUGGCUCUGCUCAGCCACGCCAGGCAGGAAAAUGGGCACCUCUGGUGACCCAGGCUGGCUGAGAGCCUGCAGGGAAGAGCCUUUGGCACGUGAGCCACUGUGGGCUGGCAGGACUGCAACUUGGGGUCUCCAUCUACUGGUACCGAGGCAAGGAGGAAAAAGCAGGGGGGCCCGGAGACGGCCCCUCUAAGUCUGUAACUCCAGAACUGCUGCUCAGUCCCCAGAAUGUCACCUCCGAGCAGAGCCUGUGACAACUUCAACUGUGAAGCUGUGGCGUGGGUUGCUACUGAAGCUCUGAAGUCAGCGGGGACACAGCAUGUUUGUUCUAGACCGUUUGGCUGCUGGAGGAAGCUGCACACGCACACACUCGCCUCACCACCCUGCGAGUCCACAGGCCCCUCCCUGGAGGCACCUCCAGGUAAAGGGGGCCCUGCAUCGGGCCUUGCUCUCUGGGGCGCUGAGACGCUCUACAAUGAACUGUGCUGCAGUGCACGGCCGCCCGACUGUGCACCCACAACAGGGAACUGAACGCUGCAUGAAUUACAUCUCCAAGUUGUUCUUUAAAAAGGCUUAGGGUCCCUGGAAGACCCUCGCCCACACCCAGCGUGGAGCGUUGUUGCUCACGUGGCCGCACCUCUCGGGAUGGCCGUGGGUCUCCGUGAUGGGCAGGCGAGUGGAACCACAGGUGCUUCCUGUCCUGGUCACAAAGUCAGAGUGGCUGGGCCAAGUGUCCUGAGAAAAGUCACCUCCUGGGAUCCCAUCAGCCUGGCCAUAGCAGAACACCUAGACAGGGGCCCAUCCCCGAGGCUCAACUCAACACAUGCAGCCACUGUAGAAAAGUCUGGAAAAUAGUUCUUCAACCGACUAGACAUGGUGAGCCCAAAACCCAGCCAUGACACUCCUAGGCAUCUGCCCCAGAGGAAUGAAAGCAUCCGUCCCCUGCAAACUCAUCCUUACGCAGCAGCAUGACUCAAGACGGCCAAAGGCGGAAACACCCCAAACGUCCAUCAGUGGACAAACGGGCAGACGCAAUGCACUGUCUGUACCGUGGGAUGUCACUCAGCCAUAUGAAGGAAAGACUCCACUGUGGAUGAGCCCUGGAACCACGGUGCUGCGUGAUCCCGUAACACAUGGCCAGAACAGAAACGGCCCGGAACCUGAGGCCGGGAAGAUGCGUGCGGGUGGCGGGGAGACAGAGGGGCAAUGGCUAAGGAAUACCCAGUUUAUUUUGGGCUGAAAAUGGUCUAAAGUUGACUGUGGUGAUGGCUGUACAACUCUGAAUAUGCUGAAAACUCGAAUUACACACUUCAGUUGGGCGAACUGUACUCCAUGUGAAUUACCUCUCGAUGGUUCCUCUCCUGGGCUCAGGCGCUUCUCCCACCUUGGCCUCCUGAGUAGCUGGAACUACCAUUCAUGUGCGGAAAUAAAACAACUCGGUCUCAAAAAAAACUCAACUCAAAACUCAGUCUCAAAAAUAAAAAAAUAAAAAAGUAAAAGAGGCUA
This is a long non-coding RNA of Gorilla gorilla gorilla (western lowland gorilla), 3516 nucleotides long. RefSeq lists it as uncharacterized. The transcript has 2 exons. NCBI's taxonomy places the organism in Eukaryota, Metazoa, Chordata, Mammalia, Primates, Hominidae. The record is from RefSeq and is a predicted model, not a curated record.